This 424-nucleotide ribosomal RNA is filed under the name uncultured bacterium. Its description in RNAcentral is "partial 16S ribosomal RNA". It matches the Rfam family "Bacterial small subunit ribosomal RNA", at positions 360 to 776 of the family's 1533-position model. The record is from RNAcentral.
AAUAUUGGACAAUGGGGGGAACCCUGAUCCAGCCAUGCCGCGUGUGUGAAGAAGGUCUUCGGAUUGUAAAGCACUUUAAGUUGGGAGGAAGAGUUGUAGGCUAAUACCUUGCAAUUUUGACGUUACCAACAGAAUAAGCACCGGCUAACUUCGUGCCAGCAGCCGCGGUAAUACGUAGGUGGCGAGCGUUGUCCGGAAUUACUGGGCGUAAAGCGCGCGUAGGUGGUUUGUUAAGUUGGAAGUGAAAGCCCCGGGCUCAACCUGGGAAUUGCUUUCAAAACUGACGAGCUAGAGUACGGUAGAGGGUAGUGGAAUUUCCUGUGUAGCGGUGAAAUGCGUAGAUAUAGGAAGGAACAUCAGUGGCGAAGGCGACUACCUGGACUGAUACUGACACUGAGGUGCGAAAGCGUGGGGAGCAAACAGG